Long non-coding RNA from Tigriopus californicus, 1125 nucleotides. RefSeq lists it as uncharacterized. NCBI's taxonomy places the organism in Eukaryota, Metazoa, Arthropoda, Copepoda, Harpacticoida, Harpacticidae. The record is from RefSeq and is a predicted model, not a curated record. The transcript is spliced from 3 exons.
GUAUGUAGCUGUGUUUGUAUGUACGUACGUAGAUUUGUGUUCAAUACUACUGCAGAUUCUGCGGUCGAAAACUUGAAGACAGUGUGCAACUGAGUGCAGCGCUAACAAAUAUGUACUCGAUCGUUGUUGCGGAAACAAUACGUGGAUUAGGAGACUAGACGGAAUUGUUCAAACAAGUUCGUGGCUUGGUGCGAGCAAACCACAUUGUGAUCCAGCAAAUAUUGAAACGAGCUGCCAUCUCUCCAGAUUCCAAGUUCAUGAUCACCUCUCGCGAUUGAUUGCCAUGUAAAUAUCACACAGACUCUAGGGCUUGAUUUCAUAUUGAUUGGGUGAUAGAUAUUCACGACUAAGAAAACUUCUGCUUGGGAUUAUCAUGCAUGCAUUAACCGCGAGCCUUUGUUCUUCAAUGGAUAAUCCUCCCAGUCCAUUUCGAAUUAAAGCGUGCUUCAGCGACAGCCUACACAAUAAUGGAUUUAUUUAAGCUUGGCAAUACAACAUGGUGCCAGCAGCAAUGGAUGAAGAUCAACAAUCUGGGACACCUCAAUUGACACAAGUUGAUCGGGAAGUUCAAGUUUCCAAAAUACUUUCAGUUUUUUGGUACUGCCUUCAAGACGACAAAGAGUGGAUAUGAAAUGUGGCAUUGAGGCUUGUCUGAACCGUAAACAAAGGUAUAGCAUGCAUGAUUGAACAAAUAGAAUAUCAUUUACGAUAUACAUUCGUCAAAUGGAGAUUUUCGACGAGGUUCGUUCUCUCUUUAAGCGCGGUUAUGACCUCCACUAUCGUGAGAGACGAGCCAAAAUGUAUCAAGCAUUCCCUUUCCCUGAAAUGAUCCAGUCAAUAUUUGGGCCACAUGUACGGUAUAGGUAUAAAGUACGGAUAUACCGGUACCGGACUCACCUUCACUUCGAUGGCCCCUCGGUUCUCAAUGAUGAAUCCACCCACCACGUCCAACAUCAUCUUCGUCUCCAUACUGAUUUGGAUCUUUCCAGCUGUUCACGAGAGACAAAACAAUUGCAUCAAUAGCAGGCAUACUGGAGAUGCAAUUCUAAUCACUUCCAAAGAGCUUUGUUCGAUCUAAUCCCUAUCAUCAUAUGUAUCUAUUGGAAUACAAAUACUACUUGUGGA